UCGUGGUUAGCAGAGUUGGUAGGGGGCUCCACUAGAAAUUGAGAGGUCCCUGGUUCGACACCAGGACCAGGCG
Molecule: transfer RNA, 73 nt
Filed under: Ixodes scapularis (black-legged tick)
Lineage: Eukaryota; Metazoa; Arthropoda; Arachnida; Ixodida; Ixodidae
Description: tRNA-Ser for anticodon AGA
Source: RNAcentral